RNAcentral lists this ribosomal RNA (460 nucleotides) under uncultured bacterium. RNAcentral's name for it is "partial 16S ribosomal RNA". It matches the Rfam family "Bacterial small subunit ribosomal RNA", at positions 338 to 795 of the family's 1533-position model. The record is from RNAcentral.
CCUACGGGGGGCUGCAGUGAGGAAUAUUGGUCAAUGGACGAGAGUCUGAACCAGCGAAGUAGCGUGAAGGAUGACUGCCCUAGGGGUUGUAAACUUCGUGUAUAUGGGAAUAAAAUGUUACACGUGUGGGAUUUUGUAUGUACCAAAUGAAUAAGGAGCGGCUAACUCUGUGCCAGCAGCCGUGGUAAUACGGAGGAUCCGAGCGUUAUCCGGAUUUAUUGGGUUUAAAGGGAGCGUAGGUGGAUUGUUAAGUCAGUUGUGAAAGUUUGCGGCUCAACCGUAAAAUUGCAGUUGAAACGGGCAGUCUUGAGUACAGUAGAGGUGGGCGGAAUUCGUUGUGUAGCGGUGAAAUGCUUAGAUAUCACGAAGAACUCCGAUUGCGAAGGCAGCUCACUGGACUGCAACUGACACUGAGGCUCGAAAGUGUGGGUAUCAAACAGGAUUAGAUACCCUGGUAGUC